This 177-nucleotide ribosomal RNA is filed under the name Leuconostoc mesenteroides. RNAcentral describes it as "partial 16S ribosomal RNA". It matches the Rfam family "Bacterial small subunit ribosomal RNA", at positions 379 to 548 of the family's 1533-position model. The record is from RNAcentral. Lineage: Bacteria; Bacillati; Bacillota; Bacilli; Lactobacillales; Lactobacillaceae.
AAGCCUGAUGGAGCAACGCCGCGUGUGUGAUGAAGGCUCUCGGGUCGUAAAGCACUGUUGUAUGGGAAGAACAGCUAGAAUAGGAAAUGAUUUUAGUUUGACGGUACCAUACCAGAAAGAGACGGCUAAAUACGUGCCAGCAGCCGCGGUAAUACGUAUGUCCCGAGCGUUAUCCGG